This 518-nucleotide ribosomal RNA is filed under the name Xanthomonas citri. RNAcentral describes it as "bacterial SSU rRNA". It matches the Rfam family "Bacterial small subunit ribosomal RNA", at positions 366 to 875 of the family's 1533-position model. Lineage: Bacteria; Pseudomonadati; Pseudomonadota; Gammaproteobacteria; Lysobacterales; Lysobacteraceae. The record is from RNAcentral.
GGACAAUGGGCGCAAGCCUGAUCCAGCCAUGCCGCGUGGGUGAAGAAGGCCUUCGGGUUGUAAAGCCCUUUUGUUGGGAAAGAAAAGCAGUCGGUUAAUACCCGAUUGUUCUGACGGUACCCAAAGAAUAAGCACCGGCUAACUUCGUGCCAGCAGCCGCGGUAAUACGAAGGGUGCAAGCGUUACUCGGAAUUACUGGGCGUAAAGCGUGCGUAGGUGGUGGUUUAAGUCUGUUGUGAAAGCCCUGGGCUCAACCUGGGAAUUGCAGUGGAUACUGGGUCACUAGAGUGUGGUAGAGGGUAGCGGAAUUCCCGGUGUAGCAGUGAAAUGCGUAGAGAUCGGGAGGAACAUCCGUGGCGAAGGCGGCUACCUGGACCAACACUGACACUGAGGCACGAAAGCGUGGGGAGCAAACAGGAUUAGAUACCCUGGUAGUCCACGCCCUAAACGAUGCGAACUGGAUGUUGGGUGCAAUUUGGCACGCAGUAUCGAAGCUAACGCGUUAAGUUCGCCGCCUG